RNAcentral lists this ribosomal RNA (253 nucleotides) under uncultured bacterium. RNAcentral describes it as "partial 16S ribosomal RNA". It matches the Rfam family "Bacterial small subunit ribosomal RNA", at positions 524 to 776 of the family's 1533-position model. The record is from RNAcentral.
UACGUAGGGUGCAAGCGUUAAUCGGAAUUACUGGGCGUAAAGCGUGCGCAGGCGGUUUUGUAAGUCCGGUGUGAAAUCCCCGGGCUUAACCUGGGAACUGCAUUUGUGACUGCAUAGCUAGAGUACGGUAGAGGGGGAUGGAAUUCCGCGUGUAGCAGUGAAAUGCGUAGAUAUGCGGAGGAACACCGAUGGCGAAGGCAAUCCCCUGGACCUGUACUGACGCUCAUGCACGAAAGCGUGGGGAGCAAACAGG